GGGCUCGUAGUUCACCGGUUAGAACGCGACUCUUAUAAAGUCGAUGCAGAUGGUUCGAUUCCAUCCGAGCCCA
RNAcentral lists this transfer RNA (73 nucleotides) under Candidatus Levyibacteriota bacterium. RNAcentral describes it as "tRNA-Ile". It matches the Rfam family "tRNA". Rfam says of the family: Transfer RNA (tRNA) molecules are approximately 80 nucleotides in length. The record is from RNAcentral. Lineage: Bacteria; Candidatus Levyibacteriota.